This 17144-nucleotide long non-coding RNA is filed under the name Brassica napus (rape). RNAcentral describes it as "long non-coding RNA (BNAP_LNC021445)". Lineage: Eukaryota; Viridiplantae; Streptophyta; Magnoliopsida; Brassicales; Brassicaceae. The record is from RNAcentral.
UGACCGGUGAAAUCAAUGUCGUAGAUUGGUGUACCGUCGGGAUGCAAGAUUCCCCAAUGCCUCUGUGUUCCGGAACCGGAUUUCUGGUUUUCGUUGAACAAUGAGAAAACAAAUGUCGGUAUAGGUAAAGCGGGUCUAGCUGGUGUACCGAUUGGUGGAAUUGCGGUCAUCUUCUUGAUCAAAUUCCGGUUAUACGUCGCUGCGUUGAGUAUAUUGGCUCCGGUUUCAUCGAUGUCCCCGGAAUUAGGCCACCCGGUUUCGGAGAUCGCAAUGCGGAUGUGUGGGUAACCGAGUUUGAGCAAAAAAAAAAAUGAAGAACAAGAGAUUUUGAGAUCUGGAAAACGCAGACAAAAGGUUGAAGAUGGGGGUAAAAUCGUAUUUUGUCAUUCAUUAAACUAAAAUCAGAAAAAUGAUGCAAACUUUCACAUGUAUUUGUAUCUUUUUCUAUAUAUAUAUUUGUGGAUUAUUAUUUCAUUAUUAAAAUCGUAACUAUAUAUAUAAAUAUUAGUAAAGUAUUUACUACAAGAAAACAUGUUAUUACCGACUGCAAAAACAGUCGCUAAUCAGUCACAAAACAUGUGUUUACGACUAUUUUGCGACUGAAUUGCAUAGUCGGAAUACCAUGCAUCGCUAAAAUAAUCGGUUGCUAAUCAGUCGCAAUUUACGACUAUUUUACGACUGAUUAGCGACUGAUUUGUGAUUACUGUUAUUAGUCGCAAAACAGUCACAAUUCAGUCACUAAAUAUUACCACUAAUAUGCGACUAACCUGCUUCUUCGUUUACGACUAUUCUACGACUGCUCUUAAGUUGUUAUAUGGUUGAUGUUGUAGUCGUUUUUCAGCCGUAAAAUUAAUUAAAAUAUUUUUUUAAAAAAAUUAUAAAUUUUUAAUUAAUUAUAUUUUUUUAUUAUUUAAUCAAUUAAUUUUUUUUGAUUAAUCAAUUAAAACACAAAAUAUCGUUUGUAAUUGAAUUGAUUUACAAUUGAAAUGGUUUACAAUUGAAAUCGGUUUAAUAUAAACAUAUAGCAGUAAAAUAAUUAAAUCUAACUAAAAAAACUAGAUCUAGGGUUCUUCACGCCAUUUACGGUGGGGCUUUUUCACAGCCAUUGACGGCGGGUCUCCGGAGCUUGAACAUAGGAGGCAAGCUUGAACGGUGAUGAGCCUGAGCCCGAUACGAGAAGACAGACGGUGAGCUUGUGAAGAGGUGAGGAGAGGCGGGAAGAGCUUUACCGUAGACACAACGGUGGUCGUCAUCGUCUUUAUGUAGCUUCCGCCUCCACAGCAUCUGUGUAGCUUCCGUUGUCUCUGUGUAGAUUUCAUUGUCUCUAUGUACCUUCCGUCGCCGUCUAUUAAUAGCUUGAGCAGAAGUGACGAGAAGGAUUGAGCAUAAGUGAGGUGGAAAUGAAGAGCUUGAGCUUGAAGACGAACACCGGUUUCAGUGCAGAAAGAAAGAACAGGAGAGAUAGAGCUGAGAUGGAGAGACAGAGAAGAGAAGACGAAAGAGAUAGAACAAUGAUUUCUAAGUUGAAGAUGAAAGAGGAAGAAGAUUGAUUACUCGUGGAAAGGAAGAGAGAUAUGAGAGAGAUGUAGACCAUUGGAUUAAGAAUAAUCAAAGGUGGAGAUUAAAAGAUUGGUUAUCCUCGCCAAUUGGUACUCAACCAAUAGAAAAUAAAAGGAUGGAUUGCUCUUUGUUUCAGAAGAAAAGAAACACACACAAAAAAAAAAUGAAUCUAGACCAUUAGAUUUAAGCAGGUUCUUCACGCCAUUUACGGUGGGUCUUCUUCACAGCCAUUGACGGCGGGUCUCCGGAGCUUGAACAGAGGAGGCAAGCUUGAACGGUGAAGAGCUUGAGCCCGAGACGAGAAGACAGACGGUGAGCUUGUGAAGAGGUGAGGAGAGGUGGGAAGAGCUUUACCGUAGACAACGGUGGUGGUCGUCGUCUUUAUGUAGCUUCCGCCUCCACUGCAUCUGUGUAGCUUCCGUUGUCUCUGUGUAGAUUUCAUUGUCUCUAUGUACCUUCCGUCGUCGUCUAUUAAUAGCUUGAGCAGAAGUGACGAGAAGGAUUGAGCAUAAGUGAGGUGGAAAUGAAGAGCUUGAGCUUGAAGACGAACACCGGUUUCAGUGCAGAAAGAAAGAACAGGAGAGAUAGAGCUGAGAUGGAGAGACAGAGAAGAGAAGACGAAAGAGAUAGAACAAUGAUUUCUAAGUUGAAGAUGAAAGAGGAAGAAGAUUGAUUACUCGUGGAAAGGAAGAGAGAUAUGAGAGAGAUGUAAACCUUUGGAUUAAGAAUAAUCAAAGGCGGAGAUUAAAAUAUUGGUUAUCCUCGCCAAUUGGUACUCAACCAAUAGAAAAUAAAAGGAUGGAUUGCUCUUUGUUUCAGAAGAGAAGAAACACACACAAAAGAAAAUGAAUCUAGACCAUUAGAUUUAAGCCAAUUUAAGAUAAUCAACGAUUGAGAUAAUAUCAUUUAGCUAGAGUAUUGACCGAUAUAUACAAAAAGAGAAGCUUUUUAUUUAAGAGAAGAGAUUAUAGAUUAUAUUUAGUUUUAUUUUUAUUUUUAUCCUAAUUUAUAUAGAGAAGAAAUAUGAUUAAUUUGUGUAGGGUUUGAUGUUAAGUUUGAAGUUUUGGUUAGUUUUUUUUUUUAAGUUUGUGAUUUUAUGUUUGGAGUUUAGAUUAAAAGUUAUGAUAUAGGGUUUGAGGGUUAAACUUAAAGUUUGGAAUAUUAUAGUUGAAAAUAAUAAAAUUUUCUUUUCUAUUUAUAUAUAGUUUGUUUAUAAAUGGUCUAAAUUUAAAGUAUUAGACAUCAAAUUCAACAUUUGUAAAAUGUAUGUUUAAGAUUUGGUGUUCAAUUUUGAAGAUGUUAGAGUUGUUUGGUUUAGAUUUGGGUAUAAGGUAAAUUAUUAAAAACAAAAUUUAAAGCCUAAGAUUAAUUUAUAUUUUUUGGAGUUUAGUUUAAAAUUUAAUGUAUAUAGUAUAUAUGAGGUUUAUAUUUUUAUUAUAUCAUUUUUAAAAAAUAUUUAAAGUUUAAGUUUAAUUUGAAUGAUAAGAUUGAAAAGAUUAAAUUUUAUAAUGUUAUAUGUAGGUUUAAAUUUGGGGUUUAGGGUAUAGAUGUUAAGAUAAGAGUUUAGGGUAUAGAGUAUGUAGUCGCAAAAUUAGCGACUGUUUUGCGACUACAUAUUUUGAUCGGCAAUGUAGUCGGUAAUUAACAACUGUUUUGCAACUACUUAAUAUAUAUCCUGCCAAUCAGUCGUUAUUUAGCGACUGUUGCGUGCCAAUAAAUAGAGACCGGCUCGUAACAUUCUUUCCCAGGAGCCAAAGCCGCACACGUUGUGUUGCUUCGGCCACAAGCCAUCCUCAAAGCUUCCUCAAGCUCAGCCUCCUUGGCUCCUUCAACAGGUACGCACCACAUUUGACCCUUGUAAGGAACAUUGUUCGUCGGUUUAGGCAAAGGGUUAAAACCGGUUAAGGGUUUUUGACCGGUGAAAUCAAUGUCGUAGAUUGGUGUACCGUCAGGAUGCAAGAUUCCCCAAUGCCUCUGUGUUCCGGAACCGGAUUUCUGGUUUUCGUUGAACAAUGAGAAAACAAAUGUCGGUAUAGGUAAAGCGGGUCUAGCUGGUGUACCGAUUGGUGGAAUUGCGGUCAUCUUCUUGAUCAAAUUCCGGUUAUACGUCGCUGCGUUGAGUAUAUUGGCUCCGGUUUCAUCGAUGUCCCCGGAAUUAGGCCACCCGGUUUCGGAGAUCGCAAUGCGGAUGUGUGGGUAACCGAGUUUGGUCAUGGCCAAGAUAACCGAAUCCAACAUUUGGUCUACGAGAUUAUGGUAAACCAAACCGGUACGAGGAUCGGUAUAAGUUGAAUUCCCUUGGAAGAGAGCAAAAUCCAAACUGGUAUUCAUAGGGUUUCUCAACCAACGGUAAUAAGGUUGAAGAUUGAUGAAGAAGUAAGAGUUUGUUCCGUUGAGAAACUUCAGCAACGGCAACAUCAACGGUCCGGCUAUAUCUUCCCGGAACGUUGAGUUCGACGGUGGAAACGUCGACCGGAGAGAAUCCAUAGGUAAAGGUGUACCGACUUUGAUGUUGUGAAUGCCAUGAGCUCUGAGAGCGUUCACGAUUUUGCGCAUCGCCGGUACGAGAUUGGCCGUUAUGUUCCUGUCUUGGACGGAGAGGAUUUCGUUUCCGACAAGGACAAAUCGGAUUUGGGUUUGCGGAUAGUAAGGGAGGAUAUUUGUUUUGACCCAAUCUUCAGCUGUGGUUUGGUUGGUGCCGAGGGAAGUGAUCUGGUGGUUAUGGACGGUUAUGGAGACGUAGAGAUUGGUAUGAGAGAGGAGUGUUAGAGUCUCUGGAUCCGCGUCGUAGAGCUUGACAUGACCAGCUUUGAUGGAUUUGAUGAAAUUGAUUGAUUGGUAAGGUGAUGGGAGGUCUUUUCCUUGUCUACCAUAGUUGAUACCAAUCUUGCUUGCCAAUGCUAUCAUUAGUUUCCUCUCCAUGUACCUGUGUCGAUGCUGGAAUCGAGCCGCGGAGCAACAUGAACCUGUAAAACCAAGAAAAUUAUGUUCAUUAUUGGAGGAAAAAAAACGGGAAAAUGUAUAACAUAUUUUAAUUUAUUGAUGAAGAAGAUGACUUACUUGAAAAGUAGAUGAGAGUGAAGAGAAAGAAAGCAACACCAGACAUGACUUUCUGUGUUUGGUUCGCAAUGUGUUAGUGGUGAUCAGAUUCUGAUUUGAGUGGGAAUUGUGUGGAACUUGCAUCGACGUAUUUAAGUAGGAGUAGGGUGUAAGUUUAGUGUGAAGGAAGCUUAUAGAUUAAUAUUGAGUCAUGCAAGAAUAGCUUCUUUUUGGCUUUUGGUUUCUUCUGAAAUUGUAGCAUAGCUCAGUUCUUUUGUGUUAAAAGAUUGUUGGUUGGAUGGUUCAAAUUGAACCAAGACAAUCUUUAUCCAAAUUUCUCACUUUUAUACAUGUUGUCAAUUGUACAAAAAUAAAAAUCAAUACAAUGGCAACUGUAGAUUGAAAAAGAUAUAUUAAUAAUAGUUUUGAGUUGUGAAGACCUUUUUUGUUUAGUAGAUUGAGUUGGGAAGACCCCUGUUCAAAAACGCGUCCGCCUGGCCGUUUACUCGCCCGAUUAAAUGGUGAUCGGAAAGCUACCGUGGCGAGGAGGAGGUAAUCGGUGGUUCUAGGCGCUGAAACUAAAAAACUUUGAAAAUCGAAAUUUCAAGAGCUAAAUCGGCGUCUAUCUCAUGAAUCUAUUAUAUUUAGGUGAAAUUCACAAGAAUCUGUUGUGAAAACUAUGAAAUCGUGCAAAAAAAAAAAUGAAGAACAAGAGAUUUUGAGAUCUGGAAAACGCAGACAAAAGGUUGAAGAUGGGGGUAAAAUCGUAUUUUGUCAUUCAUUAAACUAAAAUCAGAAAAAUGAUGCAAACUUUCACAUGUAUUUGUAUCUUUUUCUAUAUAUAUAUUUGUGGAUUAUUAUUUCAUUAUUAAAAUCGUAACUAUAUAUAUAAAUAUUAGUAAAGUAUUUACUACAAGAAAACAUGUUAUUACCGACUGCAAAAACAGUCGCUAAUCAGUCACAAAACAUGUGUUUACGACUAUUUUGCGACUGAAUUGCAUAGUCGGAAUACCAUGCAUCGCUAAAAUAAUCGGUUGCUAAUCAGUCGCAAUUUACGACUAUUUUACGACUGAUUAGCGACUGAUUUGUGAUUACUGUUAUUAGUCGCAAAACAGUCACAAUUCAGUCACUAAAUAUUACCACUAAUAUGCGACUAACCUGCUUCUUCGUUUACGACUAUUCUACGACUGCUCUUAAGUUGUUAUAUGGUUGAUGUUGUAGUCGUUUUUCAGCCGUAAAAUUAAUUAAAAUAUUUUUUUAAAAAAAUUAUAAAUUUUUAAUUAAUUAUAUUUUUUUAUUAUUUAAUCAAUUAAUUUUUUUUGAUUAAUCAAUUAAAACACAAAAUAUCGUUUGUAAUUGAAUUGAUUUACAAUUGAAAUGGUUUACAAUUGAAAUCGGUUUAAUAUAAACAUAUAGCAGUAAAAUAAUUAAAUCUAACUAAAAAAACUAGAUCUAGGGUUCUUCACGCCAUUUACGGUGGGGCUUUUUCACAGCCAUUGACGGCGGGUCUCCGGAGCUUGAACAUAGGAGGCAAGCUUGAACGGUGAUGAGCCUGAGCCCGAUACGAGAAGACAGACGGUGAGCUUGUGAAGAGGUGAGGAGAGGCGGGAAGAGCUUUACCGUAGACACAACGGUGGUCGUCAUCGUCUUUAUGUAGCUUCCGCCUCCACAGCAUCUGUGUAGCUUCCGUUGUCUCUGUGUAGAUUUCAUUGUCUCUAUGUACCUUCCGUCGCCGUCUAUUAAUAGCUUGAGCAGAAGUGACGAGAAGGAUUGAGCAUAAGUGAGGUGGAAAUGAAGAGCUUGAGCUUGAAGACGAACACCGGUUUCAGUGCAGAAAGAAAGAACAGGAGAGAUAGAGCUGAGAUGGAGAGACAGAGAAGAGAAGACGAAAGAGAGAGAACAAUGAUUUCUAAGUUGAAGAUGAAAGAGGAAGAAGAUUGAUUACUCGUGAAAAAGAAGACAGAUAUGAGAGAGAUGUAGACCAUUGGAUUAAGAAUAAUCAAAGGCGGAGAUUAAAAUAUUGGUUAUCCUCGCCAAUUGGUACUCAACCAAUAGAAAAUAAAAGGAUGGAUUGCUCUUUGUUUCAGAAGAGAAGAAACACACACAAAAGAAAAUGAAUCUAGACCAUUAGAUUUAAGCCAAUUUAAGAUAAUCAACGAUUGAGAUAAUAUCAUUUAGCUAGAGUAUUGACCGAUAUAUACAAAAAGAGAAGCUUUUUAUUUAAGAGAAGAGAUUAUAGAUUAUAUUUAGUUUUAUUUUUAUUUUUAUCCUAAUUUAUAUAGAGAAGAAAUAUGAUUAAUUUGUGUAGGGUUUGAUGUUAAGUUUGAAGUUUUGGUUAGUUUUUUUUUUUAAGUUUGUGAUUUUAUGUUUGGAGUUUAGGUUAAAAGUUAUGAUAUAGGGUUUGAGGGUUAAAAUUAAAGUUUGGAAUAUUAUAGUUGAAAAUAAUAAAAUUUUCUUUUCUAUUUCUAUAUAGUUUGUUUAUAAAUGGUCUAAAUUUAAAGUAUUAGAUAUCAAAUUUAAAAUUUGUAAAAUGUAUGUUUAAGAUUUGGUGUUCAAUUUUGAAGAUGUUAGAGUUGUUUGGUUUAGAUUUGGGUAUAAGGUAAAUUAUUAAAAACAAAAUUUAAAGCCUAAGAUUAAUUUAUAGUAUUUGGAGUUUAGUUUAAAAUUUAAUGUAUAUAGUAUAUAUGAGGUUUAUAUUUUUAUUAUAUCUUUUUUAAAAAAUAUUGAAAGUUUAAGUUUAAUUUAAAUGAUAAGAUUGAAAAGAUUAAAUUUUAUAAUGUUAUAUGUAGGUUUAAAUUUGGGGUUUAGGGUAUAGAUGUUAAGAUAAGAGUUUAGGGUAUAGAGUAUGUAGUCGCAAAAUUAGCGACUGUUUUGCGACUACAUAUUUUGAUCGGCAAUGUAGUCGGUAAUUAACAACUGUUUUGCAACUACUUAAUAUAUAUCCUGCCAAUCAGUCGUUAUUUAGCGACUGUUUUGCGACUAUAGAUGCCGACCAAAGUAUGUAGUCGCACAACAGUCGCUAAACAACGACUGAUUUGCGACUGAUUUGUUUAGUCGCAAAAUAACGACUGAUUUGCGAUUGAUUUGUUUAGUCUCAAAUAAGUCGUAAAACAGUCGCAAUCCAGUCGCAAUAUUUUGCGACUACAUAAUCAGUCGCAACAUGCAGUCGGUAAUUUCAUGCUUUCUUGUAGUGAUUAUUUUAUCGUCAUAUCCAAAGAUAUUGUAAGAUUUCACAAAUUUAGAAAGUUUUUAAAAAAUUAAACUUUUCGCUUCGUAGAUUUAUAUUAUCGAGUAAAUAAUUAAACAUUUAGUUUUUGUUUAAUUUUUAAAAUAAACCAUAUAGUUUAAAAUUUGUUUUCAUUGGUUUAAGGUAGUAAAGAUUAAUCAUUAUUAGAUGAUAUUAUUUUUGUUAUUUAAAAAAAAUCUUUAUAAUUUUAAAAUUUAACAUCGACAAAUAUUUAAAUAAUUAACAUAUGGAGGUAUAGUAUUACAAUAUUAAAUUAUAUCUAUUUAAUUUAUAUUAUCUAUAAAUCCAAUAGAUCAUCUAUUGUUUAAAUCUAAUUAUUGAUAGCCCAAUAAAAAUUUCUUGUAGGCCCAAAAUUUAAAUGAUAAGAUUAAAGAUUAAAUGUAAUAUGAAUUUUUAGGAAUAUGUCCAUUAGGUCCAUUUUUUAAAAAAAUCACACAUGAAUCAAAGUUGUGACUUCUGUUUUAAUAUAUAAGAUGAAAGUCCUAGACAAGAGCAAUGCAAUAACAGGGGAAUUUUGAUAGAUGGGAAGUAUAUGAAUGUUGGUGAAUGAUAUGACGAAUAGGGAGUAUAUGAUCUGAGUACAAAAAGUUUAUAAUUUUGGUGUCUAAAAUAUGGAUACCCUUCGUCUUUAUCUUCUUGUUCCUUUUAUAGGUGGUUGUCCGUGAAUUGUAAAGUCAUCUGCAUCGGUAGAAAAAGUUUCAGUUUCUCAAAAAAAUUAUUUUUUUUUUUUAUUUUUCAAAAUCAUUUGAACCAUUAAUAAAGAGACAGUUGCAGAACCAACCAAUCAAAAAUAUUUUUAUCACAAAUCCAUUCUUCUUUUUUACUUUCUCUUUUUUCCUUCUGAAAUUUUUUAUAUUUUUAUAUUUGCUAGAAAUGGUGGAAGAACUUUCACUCCGCAUGCCCUAUCGGAAGAUAUAUGGUGUCUAUUUAGCACCAUCAAUGCCUCUUUAAUGAUUUGAUCAAAAAACAAUGAUCUGAUCUCCUUUAUGUUUUUGGUUGACCGGUUAUUUUUGCGUUGACUUUCUCCAUAACCUAUAAAGGCUUCGAAUGGUAUGCAGAUCAAAAAUAUGCAGAUCAAACACAAAAUGCAGAUCAAGCAGAAUAAAUGCAGAUCAAGCAGAAUAAAUGCAAAACAAAUACAGUUCUAACUGUUUAAACUAAUUUACGAAUUAGCAUAUUUGACUAAAUGUUAAAAAUAAUUUUGUAAGCUAAAUAUCUAAAAUACAAAUACAAACGAAUAUCUACUUGUACAGAACAUGUUAAUUUUUAUUGUGUAUUACUGAAUAUUAAUUUUUAACUUAUUUCUAAUAAAUUAAAGUUUUCAUAAUUUAUUUAAAAACAAAUAACAAUGUACCUUGAUUUUUAUAUUUUAUUGGAUAUACUUUGAUUUUUUUUUAAUAUUAGAAAAAAUAGUGUGCAUAAAAUCAUUCUACAGAAAAAUUAUAUAAAUUUUGAACAGGACUGGGCAAAAUAUCUGUAAAUUUUGAUUCGAUUCAUUAUCCAUUUCGAUUCGAACCGAAAAGUAGAGAUAUCCGUAAGAAACAAAGUAAAUCACAAAUAUUAAUAUUAAUAUUUUUAAGAACAAAUAUCUUGUCUGAUCCGUUAUAUGCAUAUAUACAUAUAUUUAAGGAAUUAUACAUAAGUUAUAUAAAUAUUAUAUUUUAUAUAAGUUUUACAGUAUUUUAUUUACUGAAUGGUUAAUUAUUCAUUAGAAUUUUAAAAAGUAAAUAAAUUUUUAUUUUAUAAUAAAAUAUUAUUAUUUUAUAUUAUUUUUCAAUUGUUAUUUAUUUUAUAAUUUUUAUUUAUUUUACGGAUAUAAUAGGAUAUCCGGUCAAAAUCUACAAUUUUCCGGAUAUCCGGAACAUAUAAUAUCAUGAUGGGCACAGAUUGAAUCCGAACAAAUAAUUGAUUAUUCUGAAGAAACGGAUCGGAUCACGAAUAUUUCUAAAAACCCGGAUAUCCGAUUUAUGUCCACCCUUAUUUCUGAAUAUGUAAAUUAUAUAUAUACAAGUGUUUAUCAAAUUUAAUAAUAUUUAAUAUACAUAUAUAUCAUUUUUAAAUAUUUGCAUAAGAAAAUUCAUCUUAAAUUUGUUAUAAAAAACAAAAAAAAACUUACACUUAAAGAGGAAUUGUAAUUUGUGAAGGAAAGAAAUAAUGUAAUAUAAAAUAUUGAUAAGUAAAGGAGAAAAGGUAGUCGUUUAAAAAAAAAAUCAAAGAAAACUUUUCAUUGGGCUCCUGUAUUCGACCAGUCCACUUUUCCCUAUUACAUGCGGAUCAGUUUUUUUGUCACAUAAAUUUUGUUGCAUGCAGUUUUCUUAAUUUUUUAAUACUAUAAUUUCUUCUGCACUUUUAAUGGUGAUUGGAAAGUGCAUAUCAAUCUGCAUAUUAUUUUUUCCUGCGUUUGUACUGCAUUCAUACUGCACUGCAUUCAAACCCAAAGAGACUUCGUUCUUCUUUGAUUUGUUAUUUUAUUAAUGAGUCUUUUGAUUUGGGACAGAUUUUUGAACCGGGUUUGAAGUGGGAUAGAUGACUGGAUGGCAUUAUGGUUAUUAUGAACCGUUUAAUUUUUGUACUUUACAUGUUUUUAUUUGAAAACAAAAAAUAAAUUGAAAUAUUUAUCCAAUGAAAACAAAAAGUGAAAAGGGAAUUUCCUUUUUCUUUGACCAAACUAAGCCGGAGAAGGAAAACACCAAAACUGAGCAGGAGCAGGAAAAAAAACCUAAAAAAUUCUCUCUGUAUAAAGAGAUUAUAAUUUGCUUUUACAAAAACAAAAAUUUCUCUCGAGGCUCCUUGGUUUUGAAAAAAAGCUUGAAACAUGAGAAUCCUCCGCAGGGAUUUUGUUCGUGAUGGACCAGGAAGCGCUAAACUGAUGGCGGAGGACUCGGAUGAUCUCUGGUUUACUUAUAACUUAAUUGGCCCCGGCGAUAGUGUAAUGGCUGUCACAUCGAGAAAGGUUCUGAGAGAGAGAGGAAAUUCUAAACGUGUAGACUCUGAACGUGUUGACUCUAAACGUGAAGACUCUGACUCUGAUCAACGUGUUGACUCCAAAAAACGUGUAGGCUCUAAAAAACGUGGUGACUCUAAAAAACGUUUAGACGCUGAGCUUGACGACUCUAAACCUCUAGUGUCUGAACGUCUGACACUGAAGCUAGAAGUACAAGUUGAGGAGGUAAACUAUGACAAAGACGGUGGUGUUUUGCGCAUACUUGGGACGAAUAUCCUUGAGAACGAGCACGUACCGCUUGGUGCAUACCAUAGUUUGGAGCUCGUGCUGAAACGACGUUUUCUAUUGAGGAAAAAAAUAUGGGACUCAUUGGCUAUUGAUACACUCAACCAGGCAAAACAUCGUAUCUCCAGUGAUGAUUUAGCUGUAGUUCUAAUGCAAGAAGGACAUGCACAAAUCUUCCUUGUCGGAAAAAGUGUGGGUGCACCAAUAGAAACAUCAAUUCCUAAUCGUAAGCAUGCUGGUUACGAGGCUGCUUUGAAGAAAUUCUUUGAGAACGUUGUGCGUGCCUUUGUGAAACACGUUGACUUCAGUGUCGUUCGGUGUGUAGUGAUCGCAAGUCCUGGCUUUACAAAGGAUCAGUUUCAUCGCCACUUGUUGUUGGAAGCAGAGAGAAGACAGUUGAAACCUAUUACUGAGAACAAAUCACGUAUACUUCUGGUGCAUGCAAACUCCGGAUAUAGACAUAGCCUUGGAGAGGUUCUGUGUGACCCCAAAGUGAUGAAGAUGAUCCAAGAUACAAAAGCAUCGAAAGAGGUGAGCGCUUUCAGGGAUUUCUUCACCAUGUUCGAAAAGGAUCCAUAUCGGGCAUGCUACGGACCGAAGCAUGUGGAGUUUGCUCAUGAACAAAAGGCAAUCCAAACACUUCUCAUUACAGAUGAGCUGUUUAAAAAUUCUGACGUGAAAGAAAGGAAGAAAUAUGUGGAUUUUGUGGAGUCGGUGAAAAAAUUAGGAGGAGAGGCUUUUAUAUUUUCUUCGAUGCAUGUUUCAGGUGAACAACUGGCAAUGCAUACUGGAAUUGCAGCUCUUCUCAGGUUCCCUUUACCAGGUCUCGAUGACGUUGAGAUGUAAAGAUAUUCUCGAUUUUAGAAAACAAUAGGCCUAGUUAUAGUACUAGAAUAAGGGAGUUUGAUCUAGCUCGAUUUUUUAUUUAUUCUGUUUUACAAAAUUAGAUAUUAUAUUGAAACCGUUUCUGUUAUGGCUUAAAUUGAUUUGAAUAUGAUUCAUUCAGUUCUUGAGUUCCAAAUGUUUUCUCAUUUUGUGGACCAACAGUGCUUAGAGAUUCAAAGAUUUGUUUACUUAAUCAUACAAUCUCCACAUGAUAUAUAACCAUGUUUUGGUUUCACUGGGACGAUAUUGUUGAAAAAUAUAUUUUGAAAAUUAUCUAGUUUACAUAUAGCUACACCACUUUAUAAUACUAUUUAACUAAAUCAUAUAAGUAUACUGGUUACUGGAAAUAACGUUUAUAAUAAAAUCAAACUAUAUUCCUUAUUUCAGUUUGGUGUAGGUCAGUUUAAUCAGAUUUUUGUCAUAUUAAAAAAUUUAAACACUAAAACCAAAAAAAAAGGAUAAACGGUAGGGCAAAUCUCCAAAAUAGCACAUUUCUAAGUUUAUGUCACAAAAAUAGCCCUCAAAAACUAAAAUGACAAAAAAUAGCAAUUUAUAUUUUGAAAAAUUUAAAUUUUUUUUAUUUUUCAAAAUUUGAAAUCUUAUCCCAAAACCCCACUCCCCAGCUCUAACCCUUAAAACCUAAAUUCUAAACCCUAAAACCUAAAUUCUAAACCCUAAACCCUAAAUCCUAAACCCUAAACCCUAAACCCUAAAUCCAAAACCCCACCUUUUAACUCUAAACCCUAAACCCUAAACCCCACCCCUAAACUCUAAACCCUAAACCCUAAACUCUAAACUCUAAACCCUAAACUCUAAACCCUAAACCCUAAACCCUAAACCCUAAACCUUAAACCCUAAACCCUAAACCCUAAACCCUAAACUCCACUCCUUAACUCUAAACCCUAAUGUCUAAAUUAAUUUACCAUUGGGGUAUAAGUGUAUAUUUAUCUAUUUUGGUAAAAUAUUAAGUGCUAUUUUGGUCAUUUUUAUUUUUAGAGCCUAUAUUUGUGACAAAAACUUUUUUUUGUGUUAUUCUUGUCAUUUUCUCUGAACGGAAACCUUUUGACAAAAAAAAAAAAAGAGGAUAUACGGAAACCUACAAAUAAGUGGUGGAUGGCAUUGGACUUUGUUUUGGAAAAUAAUAUGAGAGACACAUUUGCGUCUUAAAAUAAACCUAAUAUGUCUUAGAACUGUUUUUACUUUCAUUUUCCUAUUGCUACUUGGUUUAAGAGCACCAACCGACUCAUAAUGGGUUUAGAAAGUCCAAAUUCUAUUACAAAAAAGAAACUCCAAAACCAAAACCAACUAAGAUCACCAUUAACCCUAGCACCCGUAAUAUAGUUUUUAAUCACUUUUUUAGUAAUAAAUGGGUGUUAAGCACUUAAUUUAAUAAACCUCUAAAUUGUUGUCCUCCGAUGCAAGUAUCUUAUUUAGGGGUUCUUAAAAAAAAAAUUAAACAUUGAAACACAAAACUUUUCAAGCACACUCUACAAGAGUUCACAAGAAUACAAGUAAGACCAUCGUAGUCAUGACAAGAGACAUGAAUCAUAAAGAGUAGAAGUAUUUCGAGACACAAAACAUUAAGAUAAGAAGUGGAUACCUUGUUGAUCCUGAGCUUGAACAAGACCAACAAUAGCAAAAGCUCCUAGUACCAGCAACAAUAACGCCUUGAACAAGACCAAUCCUGAGCUUGAACAAGACCAAGCAACAAUAACGGCUUGAACAAGACCAAGUUGAUCAGUCUCUCGAUGUAAAAGUCUCAGCAGCACUGUAUUGUGUAAUUACUGCUUCAUAAAAGUUUUUGUCCUCAAGCCAUUUCGUCCACACUUUUCUUCUAAUAAGAGCUUCCGCAGGUUCACUACCUGAUAAUGUACCAGACACUAGAUGGUUGUUGAAUGACCUACUGCAAGAGGAUAAACGACCACAAUAAUUAGGUAGAGAGUGUUAAUUUAAAAACUUGAUCCCUAUCACAUUUGUGUUUCAAACAAAAUCAUGCCUCUUGAUGCGGCCAUCAGAUCAGCAACUGAACCAGAGGUCAACCCAAAGCCCUACUUAACCAGCCAAGGCGCCAGCCAGGACAUACGUUCACUAAAAGCGCCAUAUCUUACAAACCAGGAGGGUUUAAAUGAUGAGGAUAAUUUUUAUGGAUUCUACACUCAAGAGGGAGUCCAGGCCAACUGGAAUCGGCCCAAAAUAUUUAGGGAUAAAGAAGUUAUGAAUUUUACAAUUCAGAGGUUUUUCAGCCUGUCCAUCUGCGAGUAUGCGACUUUAGAAAAGGAUUCAAGCCCAAAGAAGAAGAGGCCUGAACCAAAACCGAUCAUAGGAGUCAAGAGGAGUUUAUUAACUUUACAUAAAGCCCAAGAUCUCGAGAAAUGGCCAAGGAAAUUGGAAGAUAUGAUCAAUUUCCCAAAACCGGCCAAACCAGCUCUACACUUGCCUUAUUUGGAAGAUUCGGGAUUCACAUCAAACCAACCUCAAGAAUGGCAGCCAGGAGACCUUCUAAGUCAUUCAGAGGCACUCCACAACAUCCUAGGAAGCACCAUGCCACGCUGGAUCAGGUGGAUCCCAAUUAAACCAAAAGAUCAAGCCGGUUUGCAUCAAUUGGCCAAACCGAUAUUAUUUAAGGAAUGUCUUCUACUCCUUCAGUUUGGUUCGACCCAAACGUAUCUAUGGAAGCCAGGACAUAAUAUAAACCAUCCAGAAGACAUCCAAGAAGUCCUCAGCUGCACCAGCACCCAGGAGAUCAGGAGGAUCUCUCUUCCCAUCAACCUUCCAUAUUUGGCAGCAACUACACUAAAUGCUUUGAAGAAGUCUCUACAGAUAUUUAUUCAAGACCAACGGCCAUAUUCUCCAUCAAGGCAACUCAGAGACAUGUCAGGAAGACUUCUUGACCGUGGCUACAUCCAGAAGCUGUCCAGAUACAAGAUCAUCCAAGAUUCCUUUUUGAAGGCACAAAUCGAGCUAACGGCUAGUUUCCAUGGAGCCAUCAAAACCUUCUCAUCCAAGACUUUUAUUUCGAUUUAUUUUCUUUCCUUAUGUCAUUUUCAGACUGUUAGAGAGUCUUUUUUCAAGCCUAUAAAGCUCUAGUCUUUGUUUCAUUGUAGAUCACCCCAUUUUUAAAGUAAUAAGAAUUAUUCAGUUUUUCUAGUUUUCUUAAAACUAUUGAGUUUGUGUGAAGUAACUCCAAAGCACCUUGACUUAUCAAGGCUCCUUUCCAUAGAGUCUUGUGGCGUCCUCAAUCCCCCAUCCUUCCAUUCCAAUUCGUUUGCCAAGCUUGAGAGUGAUACACAUCCAGCAAGCAAAGCACCAUCUCAAUCCACUUCAAUUUUCAACUGAUUAGGCUGAGAGUGUCACACGACCAGCAGCCUAAUUCCAUCAUAUCUAUCUUUAUUUAUCUUGUUUUAUCAUAUUAGAAAUCAUAUCUCAUUUGUUUUUGAAUUUGUUUUCAGGAUCAUAACUUGCAUUCCAUCAUAUCGCCCAUCCGAUCAUAUCUUUGGUCGAUCCAUCAAGCUUCCAUCAACCAUUUUGCCAUCCCUGAUUUCCAGCCUGCAACAUUUGGUAUCAGAGCUCAAGCUCCUGAAUCAGGUCCAUCUAUCCUUGCAUCAUUCAUAUUUGCUUGCAUUUAUUUUUUCAUUCAUAAACCAAAAAAAAAAAUCCAUAAAAACAGUUUUUGCAUUGUUAUUGUUCUUAAGAAAAGAAAACAAAAGAGAAUAAUUUUCUUGCAUUUGAUUCACGAAAUUAGUUUGAAAUUAUUGUCUAGUUGUUUGCAUUCAUUCCCCAGCUCCACUUGCCAUUUUUAGAUUUUGUGCAUUCAUUUUAGAAAAGUCAAAAAAAAAAAAAUUCUGCAUUCCAUAUUUGUUUCUUGUUUUGAUCUUGCAUAAAAAUAAAAAAAUAAAAAGGCAUAGCAUUUUAUUAAAUUUCGUGCAUACCAUAUUUGUUUCAAAAGUUUGUUAUUGGCAUUCAAAAAAAAAAUUAUUCAGCUUAGUUUAUAUCAUUUUGGGUUCAAGCAUACAUAUUUGUUUCCAUUUUCGGUUACUUGCAUAAGAAAACUCAAAAAAAAAAAAAAAAUUCAUCAUUGUUAGUUUAAUUUCCAUAUUUUCUUUCCAUUUGUGUUUCUUAUCAUAUCAUAUAGUUUAAUUUUGAGUUUACAUUCAGAAAACCAAAAUAAAAAUUAUUUAUUGCAUAGUUAUUUUAUAUCGGUUCAUAUUUACAUAUUUUAUCGGUUUAGUUAAAUUGCAUCAUUGCAUUUGUCUUAUUUUGGUUCUACCAAAACUUCCAAUACUUUCACUUGCUCUUUGAGAUUGUUUUCAGGAAGCAAUGGAAGAGGAGGGACAGGGCCAAAACCUAAAGGCCACAUUGAGCCAACAGUCCGUAGCUCUACAAAAGCUCCAAAUUAAGAUUGCUCAACUGGAGAAAAGAAAUCAGGCACAAGGCCAACGACCCCAGCAAGGAAAAACAAGAUGUGGAGAUGCACCAGGGGCUAUAUAUGUCGAGCCCAAGCCACCAGAUCCUUCAAGGAUCAAUCAGACUCCAACUUCUAAUACCCACAACCCUUUUGUUGUUAAUUCUCGGUUUGAUUAUAACUCUUUUGCUGAUAAAAUUGAACUCUUUAAAUUUUCAGUAAAAAGAGGUUAUCUUAGAUGGGAGAGGAACCUUGAUGAAUGGUUUCACUUCAACAACAUCCUGAGGAAAGAAAGGCUAGCUUAUGCUAUUGAUCAACUUAGAGAAGAAGCCUUUAAAUGGUGGGUACAAGAAGAAGAUGAUAGGCGGUUUUACAAUGAGCCAACUAUCAAAACGUGGAGAGCUCUUAAGGAAGUCAUGAGGGAUAGAUUUGCACCAGAGUUUACAAGUUCUGAAAUCCAAGAACUAUUCCCAAGGAGGUAUCUAACUCAUGGUUUCAAAGAAGCAAGAAAAAUUGUGGCACAAGAAGGUCAAAGAGUCUUGCCUCAACAAGACUACUUUCAGCCAAACCAAGGGCACGCCAUUGUACACUGCUUAGACCAGAAGAGUGACAUCCCAGAGGCCAUGAAGAUGAGUAAAAUUGUCGGCCAAAACACUUUGAUCAGGUCCAAAGAAAAACAGGAGCAUGCUACUAUGCAAGUAAAGGCUAAGGUAAGUCCUAUACUUGAUGAUAUUGUUCAUAAAUCAUCUACCACAUGUAUGAUGCACUUGUCUUUGUCCAAG